RNAcentral lists this ribosomal RNA (464 nucleotides) under uncultured bacterium. Its description in RNAcentral is "partial 16S ribosomal RNA". It matches the Rfam family "Bacterial small subunit ribosomal RNA", at positions 28 to 507 of the family's 1533-position model. The record is from RNAcentral.
GACGAACGCUGGCGGCGUGCUUAACACAUGCAAGUCGAACGGAAAGGCCCAGCUUGCUGGGUGCUCGAGUGGCGAACGGGUGAGUAACACGUGGGUGAUCUGCCCCUAACUUCGGGAUAAGCUUGGGAAACUGGGUCUAAUACCGGAUAGGACAAUCGUUUAGUGUCGGUUGUGGAAAGUUUUUUCGGUUAGGGAUGAGCCCGCGGCCUAUCAGCUUGUUGGUGGGGUAAUGGCCUACCAAGGCGUCGACGGGUAGCCGGCCUGAGAGGGUGGACGGCCACAUUGGGGCUGAGAUACGGCCCAGACUCCUACGGGAGGCAGCAGUGGGGAAUAUUGCACAAUGGGCGCAAGCCUGAUGCAGCGACGCCGCGUGGGGGAUGACGGCCUUCGGGUUGUAAACCUCUUUCGACAGGGACGAAGCUUUGGUGACGGUACCUGUAGAAGAAGCACCGGCUAACUACGUG